UGGGGAAUAUUGCACAAUGGGGGAAACCCUGAUGCAGCAACGCCGCGUGGAGGAAGAAGGUUUUCGGAUUGUAAACUCCUGUCUUUUGGGACGAUAAUGACGGUACCAAAAGAGGAAGCCACGGCUAACUACGUGCCAGCAGCCGCGGUAAUACGUAGGUGGCGAGCGUUGUCCGGAAUUACUGGGCGUAAAGGGCGCGUAGGCGGCUAAUCAAGUCAGAUGUGAAAACCCUAGGCUUAACCUGGGGGUUGCAUUUGAAACUGAUUAGCUCGAGUGUCGGAGAGGAAAGCGGAAUUCCUAGUGUAGCGGUGAAAUGCGUAGAUAUUAGGAGGAACACCAGUGGCGAAGGCGGCUUUCUGGACGAUAACUGACGCUGAGGCGCGAAAGCGUGGGGAGCAAACAGG
Molecule: ribosomal RNA, 404 nt
Filed under: uncultured Lutispora sp.
Lineage: Bacteria; Bacillati; Bacillota; Clostridia; Lutisporales; Lutisporaceae
Description: bacterial SSU rRNA
Rfam family: Bacterial small subunit ribosomal RNA
Source: RNAcentral